This 1435-nucleotide ribosomal RNA is filed under the name metagenome. RNAcentral describes it as "bacterial SSU rRNA". It matches the Rfam family "Archaeal small subunit ribosomal RNA". The record is from RNAcentral.
UCCCGUUGAUCCUGCGGGAGGUUGCUGCUAUUAGGGUUCGACUAAGCCAUGCAAGUCUGUUCAUCUUCGGGUGGACGGCAAAAUGCUCAGUAACACGUCUAUAAUCUGCCCUUAGGUCUGGGAUACCCUCGGGAAACUGAGGUUAAAACCGGAUAUGGAAAGGAAACUGGAAUGUAUCUUUCUUUAAAAGUAAUGCCUAAGGAUGAGUUGGCGGCUGAUUAGGCUGUUGGUGAGGUAACGGCUCACCAAACCGACGAUCAGUAGGGGCCUUGAAAGAGGUAGCCCCGAGAAGGUCACUGAGACACUGGACCUAGCCUUACGGGGUGCAGCAGGCGCGAAACCUUUACAAUGCACGAAAGUGUGAUAAGGGGACCCUAAGUGCCAAUGUUAUGCAUUGGCUUUUGCCAAGAGUAAAUAUCUUGGAGAAUAAGUAGUGGGCAAGACUGGUGCCAGCCGCCGCGGUAACACCAGCGUCUACAAGUGGCAACCACUUUUAUUGGGCCUAAAGCGUCCGUAGCCGGUUUAGUAAAUCUUUUGUGAAAUUGUUGGGUUUAACUCAACAGCGUGCAGAAGAAACUGCUAAGCUAGGGACCGGGAGGAGUCAGAGGUAUGUUUUGGGGAGCGGUAAAAUGCUAUAAUCCAAGACAGACCACCUGUGGCGAAGGCGUCUGACUAGAACGGAUCCGACGGUGAGGGACGAAAGCCAGGGGAGCAAAACGGAUUAGAUACCCGAGUAGUCCUGGCUGUAAACGCUGCGAGCUAGGUGUUGCGUAUUCUAUAUGAAUGCGCAGUGUCGAAGCGAAGGUGAUAAGCUCGCCGCCUGGGAAGUACGGUCGCAAGACUGAAACUUAAAGGAAUUGGCGGGGGAGCACUACAAGGAGUGCGGCGUGCGGUUUAAUCUAAUUCAACACAGAAAAUCUCACCAGGGGCGACGGCAGGAUGAAAGUCAUGCUGAAGACAUUACUUGACGAGCCGAGAGGUACUGCAUGGCCGCCGUCAGCUCGUGUCGUAAGAUGUCCUGUUAAGUCAGGCAACGAGCGAGACCUGUGCUUACAAUUGCUAGCGAUUCCUUUAGGAAGAUCGAGCACAUUGUGAGGACUGCCUUGGAAACAAGGAGGAAGGUGCAGGCUACGGUAGGUCUGUAUGCUCCGAAUCCUCUGGGCUACACGCGCGCAACAAUGGUAGGUACAAUGGGAUACAACUCCGAAAGGAGAAGUUAAUCCUCUAAAGCCUAUCCAAGUUCAGAUUGAGGGUUGUAACUCACCCUCAUGACGUUGGAAUCCCUAGUAAUCGGAAGUCAUCAGCUUCCGGUGAAUAUGUCCCUGCUCCUUGCACACACCGCCCGUCAAACCAUCCGAGUCGGGUUUAGGUGAGGUUCAGUUUAGAAUUGACCCGAACCUAAGCUCAGCGAGGCAGGUUAAGUCGUCACAAGGUA